Molecule: long non-coding RNA, 1919 nt
Organism: Anser brachyrhynchus (Pink-footed goose)
Lineage: Eukaryota; Metazoa; Chordata; Aves; Anseriformes; Anatidae
Source: Ensembl
GCUUCAACAUUUUCCCACUGCAAUGCAUACCAGGAUGGUAUUUGCAGUUCCUGUAGACUCUCCACUGGCUGUGGUCAGAAACAGAAGUUGCAGGACUUCCUCCACCAAAACGCUGAAGGGCCAGCAUCAGACCUGGGACUUGAGGAAAGGAACUGGGCUCUUCACCUGUGCUUCCUUUAUGCAUCUUUUCACAGAGGUGAUGCUGGGAAGCACCUUCCUGCGAGGUCAGCCUUUGCAAGCAGGAACGGGAGGGCUGGUGGAUAGGCUGCCUCUCCACCACACAGGCUUUCUGAAUGCAACCUUGCAGCUGUGUGACAGGUAGGAGGACAGUUUCAGCUGUAGAAAUUUUGGCAAUACUCCUUUCAGUCCCUCUGGAGCUUUCUUCAUCCUUUUUAGCAAAGGAAAUGUUUUCUCCAUGAUAACUACAUCAGCUCAGAGCCCAAAUAAGAUGGAGAUUCCUUGAAUGAAACAGCCUUGUGUACAUUCCUCUCCAGGCUGUGAUCCUUACAUCAACUCUUAUCACCAUCCUGAGGCAGAAGGCAGCCUUUCCUAGAAAAAAAGUCAGAAUCACUACACUCUUCCUUUUCUGAUUUAAGACCUAAUAUGCUACAGAGACACUCCAUUUCUCUUGACAUCCUCCACUCACUGGUACUGGUGUGUUUAUUUAUUUGUAUGUAAACAACCUUGAAAGAACACCCCUCCCAGGCUUGCAGUAUCUCCUCCACCUAGCGAAGAUACAAUCAUCACACACACUAAAGCGUAAAUAACACAGCAGCAAACCCCAGCCUCCCACCGGCAACAAGAACACAGAUCAGUGCGAAAUCACCUGAGCCUUGGGGACCCAAAAGGCUCCUGUCCUCCGGCUGCCUCCCCAGCCCUGCUCUGUUCCUGCUGGUGAAUAACGAAGCUGCGGCUGUCCCCGGCAGUGCGGGAUGCCCUUCCAUACACGUUCACAAACAGAGUUCUUACAGCUCCAGGGCACAGAUUCCAGCUCUUUUGGACCAAAAGCCUGUUUCAGUCAGCAGUCGCAUUAUGAAGAUAACUGCGUAAAUUUACUGGCACUCAAGGCUUCUAAGUAAACAUUAAAAUUAUUAAAAGUGCCCUCCCCUGGCAAUGUUCAUCCCAGAAUCUUGCUCUGUGUUUUCAGAAGGGAACAGCCUCAGCCAUCACUGCAGCACUUCACGCUGAGUACCUGACUGCUAUCCAAAACUUCUUGGUCACCCAGUGGCACCUGGACUUUAGAUACAACAUCAGAUGCUUUCCAGACUCUCACUCUGCCUGAGUGACUUCUAGGAAAUUUGGAUGAAAUUAUUUACUGUAAAUUGAUGUCAUUGCCUUACUGCAGCUCAUACUGUGUGAUGAAGACAGUAAUGAGGCUAGUGCUGGUUAAAACGCCCAAUGUGACUAAUUGCAUGGGUGAACAUUUCUUUAAUACAGACAAGGUGAAACAAUCAAAUUAAAAUGUAAAAGAUUUUAAGUACUUUGAAGAGCUCUACGCAUAAAGAGGCAUCCUGCUGGGUCUGCCGUGAGGGAAACCUCUGAGAAAGGGGCAGUGAGGAGCAGUGGGGGCAGACUGAGAGUGUCUGCCUCCUCUUCCACCAGCACAGACUUUUGCCAAGUAUCCAUCUUUCUACACUGCAGUUAUGGCUGUUACAUUAAAUCAGCCUUGUCAAACCGAUGCAGAUUUAUGUCUGAACAUUUCCACCAGCUUAAAGAUGGCUCACUCCAGUUGAACCUGCUUAUACAGGGGUACAAGCUACGUGGGCACAGGCUAACCACUACAAGGCAGCUUUAAAUCCAGAUAACCACCCAAGAAGGUCGUGCUGAUGACCAUUUAUGUUAAAUUGGUAAAGCAUUCACAAGUAGACAUGCCCUCUCUAAAGAAUAAAAGAACCUGCUUUCUGUUAAACUUGGUAGCA